This 920-nucleotide ribosomal RNA is filed under the name uncultured bacterium. Its description in RNAcentral is "bacterial SSU rRNA". It matches the Rfam family "Bacterial small subunit ribosomal RNA", at positions 10 to 920 of the family's 1533-position model. The record is from RNAcentral.
AGUUUGAUCCUGGCUCAGGAUGAACGCUAGCUACAGGCUUAACACAUGCAAGUCGAGGGGAAACGAUAUUGGAAGCUUGCUUCCGAUAGGCGUCGACCGGCGCACGGGUGAGUAACGCGUAUCCAACCUGCCCACCACUUGGGGAUAACCUUGCGAAAGUAAGACUAAUACCCAAUGAUAUCUCUAGAAGACAUCUGAAAGGGAUUAAAGAUUUAUCGGUGAUGGAUGGGGAUGCGUCUGAUUAGCUUGUUGGCGGGGUAACGGCCCACCAAGGCGACGAUCAGUAGGGGUUCUGAGAGGAAGGUCCCCCACAUUGGAACUGAGACACGGUCCAAACUCCUACGGGAGGCAGCAGUGAGGAAUAUUGGUCAAUGGACGAGAGUCUGAACCAGCCAAGUAGCGUGCAGGAUGACGGCCCUAUGGGUUGUAAACUGCUUUUAUAAGGGAAUAAAGUGAGUCUCGUGAGACUUUUUGCAUGUACCUUAUGAAUAAGGACCGGCUAAUUCCGUGCCAGCAGCCGCGGUAAUACGGAAGGUCCGGGCGUUAUCCGGAUUUAUUGGGUUUAAAGGGAGCGUAGGCCGGAGAUUAAGCGUGUUGUGAAAUGUAGACGCUCAACGUCUGCACUGCAGCGCGAACUGGUUUCCUUGAGUACGCACAAAGUGGGCGGAAUUCGUGGUGUAGCGGUGAAAUGCUUAGAUAUCACGAAGAACUCCGAUUGCGAAGGCAGCUCACUGGAGCGCAACUGACGCUGAAGCUCGAAAGUGCGGGUAUCGAACAGGAUUAGAUACCCUGGUAGUCCGCACGGUAAACGAUGGAUGCCCGCUGUUGGUCUGAAUAGGUCAGCGGCCAAGCGAAAGCAUUAAGCAUCCCACCUGGGGAGUACGCCGGCAACGGUGAAACUCAAAGGAAUUGACGGAAGG